CAAGGAAGACUAGUGUUAUUCAUCUUAAUUAGGUUUAAAGGGUACCUAGACAGUAUUUCUAGCCUCAAAGGGAACAGACUUACUAGAGUUUAUGGGAGAGGAAAUAUUAGAACCAUUGGAGUAGAGAUAAAUGUUUGAUACUAAUGGGACGGAUAGCGACGAAGGCAAACCUCUAUGUAAUAACUGACGUUGAGGGACGAAGGCUUGGGGAGCGAAUAGGAUU
Molecule: ribosomal RNA, 223 nt
Filed under: uncultured bacterium
Lineage: Bacteria
Description: partial 16S ribosomal RNA
Rfam family: Bacterial small subunit ribosomal RNA
Source: RNAcentral